AUGACUAUAAGGAACCAACGAUUCUCUCUUCUUAAACAACCUAUAUACUCCACACUUAACCAGCAUUUGAUAGAUUAUCCAACCCCGAGCAAUCUUAGUUAUUGGUGGGGGUUCGGUUCGUUAGCAGGUAUUUGUUUAGUCAUUCAGAUAGUGACUGGCGUUUUUUUAGCUAUGCAUCACACACCUCAUGUGGAUCUAGCUUUCAACAGCGUAGAACACAUUAUGAGAGAUGUUGAAGGGUGCUGGUUGCUCCGUUAUAUGCAUGCUAAUGGGGCAAGUAUGUUUCUCAUUGUGGUUCACCUUCAUAUUUUUCGUGGUCUAUAUCAUGCGAGUUAUAGCAGUCCUAGGGAAUUUGUUCGGUGUCUCGGAGUUGUCAUAUUCCUAUUAAUGAUUGUGACAGCUUUUAUAGGAUACGUACCACCUUGGGGUCAGAUGAGCUUUUGGGGAGCAACAGUAAUUACAAGCUUAGCUAGCGCCAUACCAGUAGUAGGAGAUACCAUAGUGACUUGGCUUUGGGGUGGUUUCUCCGUGGACAAUGCCACCUUAAAUCGUUUUUUUAGUCUCCAUCAUUUACUCCCCCUUAUUUUAGUAGGCGCCAGUCUUCUUCAUCUGGCCGCAUUGCAUCAAUAUGGAUCAAAUAAUCCAUUGGGUGUACAUUCUGAGAUGGAUAAAAUUGCUUCUUACCCUUAUUUUUAUGUAAAGGAUCUUGUAGGUCGGGUAGCUUCUGCUAUCUUUUUUUCCAUUUGGAUUUUUUUUGCUCCUAAUGUUUUGGGGCAUCCCGACAAUUAUAUACCUGCUAAUCCGAUGCCCACCCCUCCUCAUAUUGUGCCGGAAUGGUAUUUCCUACCGAUCCAUGCCAUUCUUCGCAGUAUACCUGACAAAGCGGGAGGUGUAGCCGCAAUAGCACCAGUUUUUAUAUCUCUCUUGGCUUUACCUUUUUUUAAAGAAAUGUAUGUGCGUAGUUCAAGUUUUUGA
Molecule: ribosomal RNA, 975 nt
Filed under: Triticum aestivum (bread wheat)
Lineage: Eukaryota; Viridiplantae; Streptophyta; Magnoliopsida; Poales; Poaceae
Description: partial small subunit ribosomal RNA
Source: RNAcentral